Molecule: ribosomal RNA, 511 nt
Filed under: uncultured bacterium
Lineage: Bacteria
Description: bacterial SSU rRNA
Rfam family: Bacterial small subunit ribosomal RNA
Source: RNAcentral
GAUGAACGCUAGCUACAGGCUUAACACAUGCAAGUCGCGGGGUAACGAGAGGGAAGCUUGCUUUCCUUGUCGACGACCGGCGCACGGGUGAGUAACGCGUAUCCAACCUGCCCAUUACCACGGGAUACCCCGUCGAAAGGCGGCCUAAUACCGUAUGCAGUCGUCAGAUGACAUCAGAGGACGACGAAAGGAUUGGCGGUAAUGGAUGGGGAUGCGUCUGAUUAGGUAGUUGGAGGGGUAACGGCCCACCAAGCCAUCGAUCAGUAGGGGUUCUGAGAGGAAGGUCCCCCACAUUGGAACUGAGACACGGUCCAAACUCCUACGGGAGGCAGCAGUGAGGAAUAUUGGUCAAUGGGCGCGAGCCUGAACCAGCCAAGUAGCGUGAGGGAUGACGGCCCUAUGGGUUGUAAACCUCUUUUAUGCGGGAAUAAAAUGUUUGACGUGUCAUACAUUGUAGGUACCGCAAGAAUAAGGACCGGCUAAUUCCGUGCCAGCAGCCGCGGUAAUCACG